CCCCGAAAUAGCUUUAGGGCUAGCCUCAAGGCGAGAGAUACGGAGGUAGAGCACUGAAUGUCCUAGGGGGUAUUGCACCUACCGAAGACUAUCAAACGCCGAAUGCCGUCAUCUUAUACUUGGGAGGCAGACUGUGGGUGAUAAGAUUCAUAGUCGAAAGGGCAACAGACCAGAUCGUCAGCUAAGGUCCCUAAAUGUAAGUUAAGUGGUAAAGGAUGUGGGAUUGCACAGACAACCAGGAUGUUGGCUUAGAA
This 254-nucleotide ribosomal RNA is filed under the name Clostridioides difficile. RNAcentral's name for it is "partial 23S ribosomal RNA". It matches the Rfam family "Bacterial large subunit ribosomal RNA", at positions 857 to 1111 of the family's 2925-position model. Lineage: Bacteria; Bacillati; Bacillota; Clostridia; Peptostreptococcales; Peptostreptococcaceae. The record is from RNAcentral.